CGAUGUAAAUAAAGUACCUACCUACCUACGCCACCUGUAGCUACUACGUCUCCAUGAAAGUUCUAAGCUUGUUUUAAAUCGCACAGACAUGCGCAGCAGCAAGCUUACUUACCAAAACAAACAAUCUGAAGUCUUUGUGAUUCAAGAUUUUAUGUAUUAUUUAGUCUUUCUGAAAUGAAUUUAAGACAUUGUCUCUUCUUAUAAAUAUUGUUCGGAAUUUGGAUAAGUGCUCCUACUUUUAAUGAUGUAGCUGAUGAAGAUCAGGUUGAGUUUAAAUUUUUUUGUAUUCUGUGAUCAGCAUGUGGUAUCCAGAUCUUUGUAGCUAUUUGAAUAGUUUUUAGGGCAAUAUUUGAGAGAAGAAUUCAGAGGAAGGAUUUCUGGCUUAUUUAGAAGAUGUGAUUGGCUGUUGCAAAUUAUGACGUCAUGAAGCAAAGGAAUCUUGUAGAGUUGCUGUUGAUUGGGAGUUUUCUUUAAAGAAUAAUUGCUGCGUGUGGGCAGCUCCAAAUAUAUCUUAAUGAAUGCAGAAUAUACUUUAAACUCUCCUUAUAAUGGUUCUACAAAAUGAGAGUGAACUACUUAUUCACACAUUUUGCGAAAAGCUUACAAAACCACCUUCCUCAAAAAUGGCUGCAGUUUGCCUGAAAGUGUUGCAAAAUUUAUUUGCUGGUAUAGGAGAAAACUCUUCUGUGUUAUGAUGUCUAUUACAAUUGGGUUCGAGUAACUAGACAAACUGAGAUGGCAUUCACAUGGUGUUUAAAGAUUUAAGUAAAUUAAAGUCAUGGUUAACUGACCUGAAUGUGAGUACUGAGAAACUCCAGAAACUGCUAUGUCUUUUGCUAGGUUUGAAGUAUUGCUUGAGUCAAAGGUUGUGUAACUGGUUUACCUGCAUUGAAUAGGAACAGUAUUAGAUUCAAAUUGAGUUGGCUGCCAAAGUAAGGAUUGAAUUACUUGGAACUUACACUGAAGACAAUGCUUCUCAAGUUGGAGAUGAUACUCAUAAGAAGAUGCCGGAGGUGUUACUCAUUUAACGUUACCCAGUGGGCACCUGUGAACCUAAGUCAUGGAGGCGAGUAACAUUACCCACGCCACACUGCCACAUACCCGUUUAUAGGGUGGACCACAUUCACACAUCACACAAUAGAGAACACCCACAAAGAGAAACAUCCAUGCCCUGAGCGGGAUUCGAACCCGCUACCAUUGGCUUCACAGUCAGGCACGCUGACCGCUCGGCCACCUGGCCGGCAUGCUAUUCAUGUGACCAUUGGUACCACUCUUCAGGACUGAAGUGAGUCUUGAGAAAAAGUGUAUUGUGACCUCCCUUGGUGAUCCCAAUACAUUUUAAUGGACCACCUACUGGCCCUAGAACCUGUACGUUUCCUGGAAGGAGAAUUAAUUCAUAAUUUCCUCACCAUAUUUGUAUCAUUCUACUUGACUUUUGAUGCUGUCACCAAAGAUUUUGUGAACUCUUUAGGAUUUUGAAUAAUGUCAAGCAUUGUUUGUUGCAGUUGUUUUAUUGAAGUUCUUCAGAACUCUUCUAAGGUUAAGUGCAAGCGAUUCUAUGGGGACAAAGAUAUUUAAAUUCUCUGUUGUCUUUAUUAUAUUUAAAAUUGAAUGUGAAAUAUAAAUAGAAAUUUGUGCCAUUUUUGUAUUGUUUAUGGAUAUGUCUUUGUAUGAAAAUAA
Parasteatoda tepidariorum (common house spider) is the source of this 1680-nucleotide non-coding RNA. NCBI's taxonomy places the organism in Eukaryota, Metazoa, Arthropoda, Arachnida, Araneae, Theridiidae. The record is from RefSeq and is a predicted model, not a curated record.